AGAGUUUGAUCCUGGCUCAGAAUGAACGCUGGGGGCGUGCUUUACACAUGCAAGUCGAGCGAGGGGGGGAGCCCUCCCCAGUCGAGCGGCGAACGGGUGAGUAACGCGUGGAUGACCUGCCCUUCAGCGGGGAAUAACCCGGGGAAACUCGGGCUAAUACCGCAUACGACCGAGAGGUGAAGGGGGGCCGCAAGGCUCUCACUGAAGGAGGGGCCCGCGUCCGAUUAGCUAGUUGGUAGGGUAAUGGCCUACCAAGGCAACGAUCGGUAGCCGGCCUGAGAGGGUGAUCGGCCACACUGGAACUGAGACACGGUCCACACUCCUACGGGAGGCAGCAGUGGGGAAUUUUGCGCAGUGGGCUAACGCCUGACGCACCCACGCCGCGAGGAGGAUGAAGGUUUUUGGAUUGCAAACUCCUGUCAGCAGGAAAAAAGGGAAGGGACCUAAUACGUCCUUGACUUGUUUGUACCUGCAGAGGAACCCCCGGCUAACUCUGUGCCACCAGCCGCGGUAAUACAGAGGGGGCAAACGUUAUUCUGUAUUUUUUGGGCGUAAAGGGGCGCGUAGGGCGGCUUUGCAAGUGACGGGGUGAAAUCCCCUCGGCUUAACCCGAAGAACUGCCUGUCACACUGCUUUGCUUGAGUUCCGGGAGAGGUGGAGGUGGCAUCUCCCCGUGUAGCGGUGAAAUGCGUAUAUAUUGGGGAGGAAACACCGUGGGCGAAGGCCGGCUCACUGGGACCGGAACU
This 746-nucleotide ribosomal RNA is filed under the name uncultured bacterium. RNAcentral describes it as "bacterial SSU rRNA". It matches the Rfam family "Bacterial small subunit ribosomal RNA", at positions 8 to 741 of the family's 1533-position model. The record is from RNAcentral.